ACGAACGCUGGCGGCGUGCCUAAUACAUGCAAGUCGAGCGGAAUGAUGAAGAAGCUUGCUUCUUCUGAUUUUAGCGGCGGACGGGUGAGUAACACGUGGGCAACCUGCCUUGUAGAUUGGGAUAACUCCGGGAAACCGGGGCUAAUACCGAAUAAUCCAUUUUGCUUCAUGGCGAGAUGUUGAAAGACGGUUUCGGCUGUCACUAUAAGAUGGGCCCGCGGCGCAUUAGCUAGUUGGUAGGGUAAUGGCCUACCAAGGCGACGAUGCGUAGCCGACCUGAGAGGGUGAUCGGCCACACUGGGACUGAGACACGGCCCAGACUCCUACGGGAGGCAGCAGUAGGGAAUCUUCCACAAUGGACGAAAGUCUGAUGGAGCAACGCCGCGUGAGUGAAGAAGGUUUUCGGAUCGUAAAACUCUGUUGUAAGGGAAGAACACGUACGAGAGUAACUGCUCGUACCUUGACGGUACCUUAUUAGAAAGCCACGGCUAACUACGUG
This 499-nucleotide ribosomal RNA is filed under the name uncultured bacterium. RNAcentral's name for it is "bacterial SSU rRNA". It matches the Rfam family "Bacterial small subunit ribosomal RNA", at positions 29 to 507 of the family's 1533-position model. The record is from RNAcentral.